RNAcentral lists this unclassified non-coding RNA (155 nucleotides) under uncultured Herpotrichiellaceae. RNAcentral describes it as "sequence contains ITS2". RNAcentral also lists the same sequence under 1 other name. The record is from RNAcentral. Lineage: Eukaryota; Fungi; Ascomycota; Eurotiomycetes; Chaetothyriales; Herpotrichiellaceae.
UCAAAGCAUCAAGCUUGGCUUGUCGUUGGGCCCUUUAUCACUUGGUGAUAGGUCCAAAAGAUAAUGAGCGGUGCCCUAAGGACCCUAUAUGCAACGAGCUUCUAACAGCACGCAUGUAGUGGUCGUACGGCCCAGUCUACACCCCUAUUUCUCAA